Molecule: long non-coding RNA, 2455 nt
Organism: Macaca fascicularis (crab-eating macaque)
Lineage: Eukaryota; Metazoa; Chordata; Mammalia; Primates; Cercopithecidae
Source: Ensembl
UUUUUUAAGUGUAGAGACAGAGUUUUGCCAUGUUGCCCAGGCUGGUCUUGAACUCCUGAAUUCAGGUGAUCCUUCUGUCUUGGCUUCUCAAAGUGCUGGGAUUAUAGGUGUGAGCCACUGUACCCAGCCCAGAUAAUUUUUUGUUGUGGGAAGCACUUCUCUGCAUUGUAGAAUGUUUAGCAGUAUCUCUGGCCUCUGUCUAUUAAAUGCCAGUAAUAUCUACCACCCAGUUGUAACAACAGAAAAUGUCUCCAGAUAGUGCCAAAUAUCCCCCAAGAAAUAAAAUCACUCCCAGUUAAGAACCACUGCUCUGGCCGGAACAGUGGCUCACACCUGUAAUCCCAGCAAUUUGGGAGGCCGAGGCGGGCGGAUUACUUGAGGUCAGGGGUUCCAGACCAGCCUGGCCAACAAUGGCAAAACUCCAUCUUUGCCGAAAAUACAAAAAUGAGCUGGGCAUGGUGGUGCAAGCCUGUAGUCCCAGCUACUUGGAUGGCUGAGGCAGGAGAAUCACUUGAACCCGGGAGGCAGAAGGUGCAGUGAGCCGGGAUUGUGCCACUGUACUCCAGCCUGGGAGACAGAGAAAGACUCUGUCUCAAAAAAAAGAAGAAAGAAAGAAAGAAAGAACCACUGCCCUAUAGUUUAGUCCUGGACAAUGACGUUCUUCCUCUAAAAUAUGAUAGAACUAAGGAAGCUUCUUUCCUGCUAAGGGUCAGUAAAAGAAAUAAACUGCAGACAGAUAUGAUACUAAUGGUAACACCGUUACUGUUUUAUAUCUGGUACAGCCUAUUCCCACAUACAAAGUGCCUUCUCAGACAGUAUUUUGUCUGACUGUCCUAGGCAAGAGAUCUCACAGAAGGAAGGGUCUACACAGUGCCUGGCAUUUAUUAGAUGAAAUCUUGGUUUCCUUUCAUUGGCUAGAUGAAGCAAUGUAUGUUCAAUGAUGUUAAGUGACUGUCCCAAGGUUACACAGCGAGUAAGUGGGUGUUGUCAUUUGUUAUGUUGAUUCACCUGUUAUUGUUCUCAACUCUAUUACUAUAAUCCUAAGAAGAGUUUCUGCUUUCACUGGAAGGAAUAAGGCAAACUAGAAUAAUCUUAGGAGCCAGGUGUGGUGGCAUGCAUCCCAGCUACUUGGGAGGCUGAGGCAGAAGGAUCGCUUUAGCCCAGGAGUUCUAAUCCACCCUGGACAACAUAGUGAGACUCCCGUCUCUAAAAAACUAAGUAAAUACAAAUUUAAAAAAGAAUCUUAGAAUCUUUGUUUCCUGGAGUCAAGAGGGUUCUAUAGGCGAUCUAGUUCAAUUCCCUACUACAUGGUUCUCAGCCCUACGUUAGGGUUGCCAGAUAAAAUACAGGAUGAUCAGUUAAAUUUGAAUUUCAGAUAAACAAUGAAUACUUUAAAAAUAUAAGUAUUUCCCAUGCAAUCAUCAUGAAUACCAGGUCUCUUGUGGCCCUGGGACUCCCCUGUGGAGAAUGAUGAGUGGGGCUUGAUUGGCCAUGUGAUCAGAAGAGAGAACUGAUAUUCUAAGGGAUUAGGAAGAAGGGGCCUUCUGCUUGGGCUUUUCCACUGUGCCUGGGCAAUCCCUACACCUUAACCCUUACCUGUGGCUUCUAUCACAGGUAGAUAGAAGGAUAGCGAUUUGGCUGCUCUAAAGGAACCCAGGUUGGGCAUGGUGGCUUACACCUGUAAUCCCAGCACUUUGGGAGGCCAAGGCAGCUGGAUCACAAGGUCAGGAGUUCAACACUAGCCUGGCCAACAUGGUGAACCCUCUACUAAAAAUACAAAAAAUUACCCUGGCAUGGUGGUGGGUGCCUGUGAUCCCAGCUACUCGGGAGGCUGAGGUGGGAGAAGCUCUUGAACCUGGGAGGUGGAGGUUGCAGUAAGCCAAUAUUGCGUCACUGCACUCCAGCCUGAGUGAGAGAGAGAGACUCUAUUUAAAAAACAAAAAACAAAAAACAGAAAGAAAAGAAACCCAAAGUAAACAAUCUCAAAUGAAGAUGGAGGCAGAAUGCAGCAGAAAGGAGGAGAGAGGAGAGAUGGGAAAGAUGUUAAGGUGUGGGGCAGAAAUGGCCCCUCAACAUCUGUUCUCCCCCUCUGCUGUGUUAAUGGAACCCCUGAUUUUCAUUUGGGCACAUGGCCACACAGCAUAAAAAGUUUAUUUCGGACCGGGCACCGUGGCUCAUGCCUGUAAUCCCAGCACUUUGGGAGGCCAAGGCAGGUGGAUCACAAGGUCAGGAGUUCGAGACCAGCCUGGCCAACAUAGUGAAACCCAUUUCUACUAAAAAUACAAAAAUUAGCCAGGCAUGGUGGCACAUACCUGUAGUCCAAGGAGGCUGAGGCAGGAGAAUCACUUGAACCUAGAAGGCGGAGGUUGUGGUGAGCCGAGAUUGCACCACUGCACUCUAGCCUAGGCCACAGAGCGAGACUCCAUCUCACCAAAAAAAAAAAAAAAAAAAAAAA